Molecule: ribosomal RNA, 278 nt
Filed under: uncultured prokaryote
Description: partial 16S ribosomal RNA
Rfam family: Bacterial small subunit ribosomal RNA
Source: RNAcentral
CACGGGGGUUGCGAGCGUUGUCCGGAAUUACUAGGCGUAAAGGGCAGGCAGGCGGAUCCAUAAGUUUAUCGUUUAAGGCGUCGGCUUAACCGGCGUAGGGCGGUAGAUACUGUGGAUCUGGAAUGCGGUUGGGGAAGGCAGAAUUCCUGGUGUAGCGGUGGAAUGCGCAGAGAUCAGGAGGAAUACCGAAGGCGAAGGCAGUCUUCCAAGCCGUUAUUGACGCUCAACUGCGAAGGUGUGGGUAUCAAACAGGAUUAGAUACCCGCGUAGUCCCUGAG